UGGGGAAUAUUGCACAAUGGGGGGAACCCUGAUGCAGCGACGCCGCGUGAAGGAAGACGUAUUUCGGUAUGUAAACUUCUAUCAGCAGGGAAGAAAACAGACGGUACCUGACUAAGAAGCCCCGGCUAACUACGUGCCAGCAGCCGCGGUAAUACGUAGGGGGCAAGCGUUAUCCGGAUUUACUGGGUGUAAAGGGGGCGCAGACGGCCAUGGCAAGCCCGGUGUGAAAGGCAGGGGCAUAACCCCUGGACUGCACUGGGAACUGUCAGGCUGGAGUGCCGGAGGGGUAAGCGGAAUUCCUGGUGUAGCGGUGAAAUGCGUAGAUAUCAGGAGGAACACCGGCGGCGAAGGCGGCUUACUGGACGGCAACUGACGUUGAGGCCCGAAAGCGUGGGGAGCGAACAGG
This 406-nucleotide ribosomal RNA is filed under the name uncultured bacterium. Its description in RNAcentral is "bacterial SSU rRNA". It matches the Rfam family "Bacterial small subunit ribosomal RNA", at positions 355 to 776 of the family's 1533-position model. The record is from RNAcentral.